This 253-nucleotide ribosomal RNA is filed under the name uncultured bacterium. RNAcentral's name for it is "partial 16S ribosomal RNA". It matches the Rfam family "Bacterial small subunit ribosomal RNA", at positions 524 to 776 of the family's 1533-position model. The record is from RNAcentral.
UACGUAGGUGGCAAGCGUAGUCCGGAAUUAUUGGGCGUAAAGCGCGCGCAGGCGGUCCCUUAAGUCUGAUGUGAAAGCCCACGGCUCAACCGUGGAGGGUCAUUGGAAACUGGGGGACUUGAGUGCAGAAGAGGAAAGUGGAAUUCCAUGUGUAGCGGUGAAAUGCGUAGAGAUGUGGAGGAACACCAGUGGCGAAGGCGACUUUCUGGUCUGUAACUGACGCUGAGGCGCGAAAGCGUGGGGAGCAAACAGG